RNAcentral lists this non-coding RNA (91 nucleotides) under Streptomyces lydicus. RNAcentral's name for it is "ZTP sequence". It matches the Rfam family "ZMP/ZTP riboswitch aptamer (pfl RNA motif)". Rfam says of the family: Previously known as pfl RNA. ZMP is also known as AICAR. The record is from Rfam by way of RNAcentral. Lineage: Bacteria; Bacillati; Actinomycetota; Actinomycetes; Kitasatosporales; Streptomycetaceae.
GGUGCGCAUCGCGACUGGCGUACGGGGAAGCGACCCCGAGGGAGCGGUGUGCGGCCACCAUCACGAGGUGCCGCCCGCCUGGGCACCCGGG